UAUUAGAGACUAGGCUUGGGUAACAACUCACGUUCCUGGAGUUGGUGUGUCAGGUCAACACCCCAAAUUCCCAUCAAGUUUGGUCCUGUGGCGGUAGGAAUUCGCUGUCAGGUUUGGGUUGAGUCAUCAUCACAAUGAUUCUAGAUCCAAGAGCUGUGGCAUUUUUGAGCCCUAGAAUCAGAAGCAAGUGUGAACUGGUAUUUGUGAGGUUUUCCAACUAGAAACAGAGGCCAAGGUGGGUAAGUAGUAGGGGGGCCUGAUGAGAGACACGCCAGGGAAAAUGGCAGAUACAGCAUGGAGCUGUCCUAUCAAGGUGACAGAGAAGCCCCGAAAGAGGAGUCAGAAGGAGGUGCAAGACCAGAGCAGCAUCCCUCAUGUAGGUGGGGCAGCAGAGGGUUCCACAAGAUCUGGGUUCAACCAAGAGUUUAACAGCCAAAGUGAACUGCUCAUUCUGUCUGGGCCCCAUGGCCACCUUGCCUUCUGCCUGAGCCGGUCUCUCUCUCUGGAUGAUCUCCCUGGUGUACCUGAGCUCUCCAUUUCCACACUUCCUGGUCCUACCUGGCCUUCAAGGUACACGUGCUUCCUAAUCUCCAGAAAUAGUGCUUCUCCUGG
Molecule: long non-coding RNA, 612 nt
Filed under: Heterocephalus glaber (naked mole-rat)
Lineage: Eukaryota; Metazoa; Chordata; Mammalia; Rodentia; Bathyergidae
Description: lncRNA (ENSHGLG00000037124.1)
Source: RNAcentral